Molecule: long non-coding RNA, 1008 nt
Filed under: Oryctolagus cuniculus (rabbit)
Lineage: Eukaryota; Metazoa; Chordata; Mammalia; Lagomorpha; Leporidae
Description: lncRNA (ENSOCUG00000036852.1)
Source: RNAcentral
AUGUGCCUGAGAAAGCAGCGGAAGAUGGUCCAAGUAUUGGUUUUCUGCUACCCAUGUGAGAUACCCGGAUGGAGCUCCUGGCUCCUGGCUUCAGCUUGGCCCAGCCCUGGCUGUUGUGGCCAUUUGGCGAAUGAACCAGCAGAGGAAAGAUCUCUGCUUCCCUCUCUCUGUGUAACUCUGCCUUUCAAACAAAUAAAUAAAUCCUUAAAAAAUAAAGUUAAAGAUUUUUAUUUUAUUUAUUUUAGCGCUAGGCAAGGGUGGGGUCGGGAGAGGAAGAAACAGCAGGGAUCUGAGUACUUCGGCCAUCACCUGCAGCCUCCCAGAGUGCACGUUAGCGGGAAAGUGGAUCAGAAAUGGAGGGGCUGGGACUUGAACCCGGGCACUCUGAUAUGGGAUGCAGACUCCCCAAGCAGCAUCUUAACCACCUGCCAAACAUCUGCCCCCAAACACACUGGAAGUUUUAGAAGAACAGAACAAUACUUCACUCACUUGACGCCUGGUUCCUGCACCUGGGUCUCCAUCCCCAGUACUGAGCACCACGUUGAAACAAGCAUGGCUGUGACUUCCUCUCCUGUUGGCUGGUGUGGACUUGAAGCCCCGGGAGGAGGUGGCCCUCAGGUCACAGGGGGACCAGGGUCUCCAGCUCAGCGUUCUGAGCUGUCCAGUACUGCUUCUUGGGGGGGUCCCCACACCCCCGCACCCUGCUCCCAGCUGAGUUCAUUGGGUCUAGGGUGGGGGAGCGUGGCUCCCCGGAAGGCAGUGUUCCCUCCAUGGGGGACGUGGGUGCUGGCCUGCACAACCCUGUUUGUCCCUUCCUCCUCUGCUAUUUUUAGCUCAGUGGGUUUCCUGUGGGGACCAGUGCAGCCUCCAGGGCCUUGGGGUUGGAGGCUAUGGGGAGGCCAUGAGCAGCAGCCACGGGAGCCCAUGGACACUUCUCUCCUGGGGCACCAGGGAAGCUGGGGGCAAACCGUGGAGAAGCCCCCAGGCACACGGGCAGGCUGGCAUUGA